This 200-nucleotide unclassified non-coding RNA is filed under the name soil metagenome. RNAcentral's name for it is "partial contains internal transcribed spacer 2 and large subunit ribosomal RNA". The record is from RNAcentral.
CGUUAUACUACUAAGGCUCAGCCUUGCGGUGGCCGCCUCCCUGUUUGCGAUUUAUUUUGCGAUGGCAGGGACGGCCGAAACCUAUGGGCGUUUCCGUUUUGAGUGUCCAGCGUAGCAAGUCUCUCGCUGUUAUUCUGACGACGACGCCAGUCUAACGAACGUUUGGCCUCGAAUCAGGUAGGGAUACCCGCUGAACUUAA